Cyprinodon variegatus (sheepshead minnow) is the source of this 536-nucleotide long non-coding RNA. RefSeq lists it as uncharacterized. Lineage: Eukaryota; Metazoa; Chordata; Actinopteri; Cyprinodontiformes; Cyprinodontidae. The transcript is spliced from 3 exons. The record is from RefSeq and is a predicted model, not a curated record.
GUCCACCGACAAGGAGCUGCUGAUAACAACGGAGAAUAAGGAAAGCUCCUUUUUCUGUGAGAUGGUAAACCCUGUCAGCAGCAGCUCCAGUGAAACAGUGGAAAACCCCUUUAUCAGAGAUAACUCCUCACUAAAGCAAAGUGGAGGAAAAACACCUGAACCAGGUUCUGAAGAUGAGAAACAAAGCUGAAACACCCUUCAUCCAUGUGUGUAACUGCUGUGAGUUGGUCCUCUAUGGGAAAAUGUUACAAACCUAAAAGCUGUUUAACUUGAAGAUGAAUAUUAGAGAGUAAACUGAGAUUUCAAAUGCUGGUGGAGACCUAAGCAACAGUCUCCUGUAGGUGGACAGUUGUCUCUGUCUGAGCAUAAUGUUGAGGAAGCAGGAGGAACAUCUGCUGACAGGAGAGAAACAUGAAGGGAUGAACUGGAACACUAAAGGACCUAAGCCUGCCUCACUCUAAUCCUGCCUUAUGGAGAAAUAUUUACUUCUUUGUCUUAAUUUAAACACAACAGCAAUAACUUUAUUGUUUUGUUUU